CCUCCUUUCUAAGGAUGAGUGAAAGUAAAAUUUCACUCUAAAUAAUAUACAUCGGUAAUGUUGACCGUCCUCAUUUCUCUUCUUAAAGUAAUGUUUCCUUCUUGUAGGGCCGGUAGCUCAGUUGGUUAGAGCACACCCUUGAUAAGGGUGGGGUCGAAAGUUCGAGUCUUUCUCGGCCCACCAAAAACCUAAAUGGGGGAUUAGCUCAUCUGGGAGAGCGCCUGAUUUGCAUUCAGGAGGUAGCAGGUUCGAUCCCUGUAUCCUCCACCAGGAAACAUUUAGUUAUUAAAACUGUAAAUAAAAAU
RNAcentral lists this transfer RNA (305 nucleotides) under uncultured Pelagibacterales bacterium. Its description in RNAcentral is "partial 16S-23S ribosomal RNA intergenic spacer". The stretch from base 107 to 180 matches the Rfam family "tRNA". Lineage: Bacteria; Pseudomonadati; Pseudomonadota; Alphaproteobacteria; Candidatus Pelagibacterales. The record is from RNAcentral.